RNAcentral lists this long non-coding RNA (888 nucleotides) under Heterocephalus glaber (naked mole-rat). RNAcentral's name for it is "lncRNA (ENSHGLG00100037357.1)". Lineage: Eukaryota; Metazoa; Chordata; Mammalia; Rodentia; Bathyergidae. The record is from RNAcentral.
CCACCGAGGACUCGCCCAGGGCUCGCCCACGCCAUCGGGACCGCGCCCCUCCCCUCCCGCCCGCUUGCCGCCUUUCUCAGCCAGGACAGCGAGCACUUCCAGAGGGCACUGCAGGUUUUGUAGCACAGGACAGAGACUUAACCCAGCUGAAUCCCAGUGGGAAAUGAAGCCCUUACUCUGGAGGCGCACCUUUAGCUAAGGGCUCUACUGUGAUGAUUUCACUGCUGUUGCCUCUUCCGGCUGAAGUCACGGCCACCACCCAGACGCUGUACUGGCGAUUUCGACUCAGGGGACACAGAGCUUCUGCUGUUGGCCAAGAUGAAAUAACAAGAGUUAGAUGAUCACUUCCACCCAGAGCAACCAAAGAGCACACAGAGGAUAUGAAAAGGGGUCCUGCAUUUUUAAGAGGGUUUUAAAGCCAUGGCACAUGGAGGGGACCCAAAAGGGUCCUAGCAGUCUCAAGUUAAGAAGAAGACAGAGCUGAGGAGAGGAGGUGGGAAUUCACAGGGAGAGUACUGGAAAUGAGCGUUAUACAGAGAGAACUCCAGAAAUCUGAAGAGGGUUCUACUUGGGCAUUCAGCUGAGCGGAUCCUGGCCUGCACUCGUGGAAACAUCCUGAAGCCCAGGAAAGAACCACCUGAAAGUAUUGGCAGUCGCACUGCUCAGCACUGACACAGGGCUGGGAAUAGUGCCUGUUCCUACCAGCCACAUUCAACAACAUCAACAUUCACCGUGGACUGGGACAGUGCAUGAGGUUCUUACCUCAAAGGGAAGAAUAAUUAGCUCAAGAUCGAGCCCUACGUUAGUCUUGCUUAACAGAUUCUAAAAUCAAAAUUCAGAAAGAACAGAUAACAUUAAGCAAUUUAACUGCAUCCUUGAAUGAGGGCC